ACUAGAAAGAGAAGCUAACAAAGGAAACCCUCUUCAAAAAAUGGGAUUUCCUUGGCCUUAGCAGUUCUGGUGUGUUCCAUUGCCAACACUAGGUAGGAAGAAUUUGAGUCGUGAUGUUUGUGAUUAAAUAUCGGCCUGGCUCAAACUUCCCAAAGAGAGGGAAUUCACCAUGCGUUCCACAGUUUUAUUCUGAGGAAGAAACUAACAGAAACAGAAUUUUAGAGCCUUAGAGCUCUCAUUACAAAAGGCCCCUCACUGUGAGUGGUGCAUCCUGAGCCUAGUUUAGAUGUGUGUACUGAGCCCAGUACAAAUGUAUGUACUGAGCCCAGAGCUAUUCGGCCUGUUGGUGGUGGGGGUGGUUAGGAUUAGAUGAUGACACUCCAAUGAGUUAGUCUAUGAUGCUGUGUCCUAGAUUGUGCUCAGGAUUAAAGACCUGAUUAAAAGACCUUUUUGACUGAAGAAUGUUCUUAAACCUGGGCAUCCAAUCAGCUUUAAACGGGUUGCAAUUAAACAUAAUGCUAUGUGUUCAUUGUUAAUUGCAAACGAAAUGUCCAGUGUUGAUAGAAAUUACCACUAAAGCCUUGAUUCUGGAAGAAGCUAGAGAAAUGGCUCUUGGGUUUCUAAUACUGACAUUUCUUUGGUGACUGGUUCCCAUGAAUGACCUCAACUUCCACUGAAAUCCACAAGAAAACCAAAAAAUGCAAACUGCAAGCCUGAAUAUGUCUGCAAAUUACCUGUGUCUUUAAUGUGUCUUGAACAGUUGGAUACAUGCUUGAUAUUUUGUGGCAAUAUAAUACUAGUGCCAGGACUCCACUUUUGGUAUCACUUUUAGUAUUUAGCUUUGGUUGUUACCAAGUGGGGAUAUAAGGGAUGAGAUGUCUGGAGCUGCUGCAGCCAGUUUGUGACUAUAAAGGAAGCUCCCACAUAGAGGAAGCUUCCACAUGGCAGAGUUGAAA
This is a long non-coding RNA of Sapajus apella (tufted capuchin), 956 nucleotides long. RefSeq lists it as uncharacterized. NCBI's taxonomy places the organism in Eukaryota, Metazoa, Chordata, Mammalia, Primates, Cebidae. The record is from RefSeq and is a predicted model, not a curated record. The transcript has 2 exons.